Long non-coding RNA from Hevea brasiliensis (rubber tree), 432 nucleotides. RefSeq lists it as uncharacterized. The record is from RefSeq and is a predicted model, not a curated record. The transcript is spliced from 3 exons. Lineage: Eukaryota; Viridiplantae; Streptophyta; Magnoliopsida; Malpighiales; Euphorbiaceae.
CUUAAUUCGCGGAAAUUCGACAGUUGUCCGGAUCUGUGAAUUUCGGGCCAGACAGACCCGUGACCGGAAAAGUCUCCGAAUUGGGCCGAGGUUUUGGCUAGCCCCCCAUUGUCAGACGUCCCGAGCGCGUCCCCGAAGUCGGAAUCGGCAAAGGUGAGCCGGGACAGCCUUCUUCCUCCGCCCAGCCGCCACAGUAAUUUGUCGUCAAGUCUGCCACAGGAGGAUAUUUUAUUCUGGGUUAACCUGCUUUUCUACCUCGCAGGUUGUUUAUCAAUAUUUGUGUAAUUUUAAUUACUCCUAGAAUUUCCGCAUGUGUUAGCAGAAAUUAUUUGAUUAUGGUCUGUAAUAUUGUUAUCAUGUUGGACCUGUAAACUAAAUAUGCUAUGCAUGUUUGAUGGAUUGGAUGAGGGAGCUGAGCUCCCAUUUAUUUUA